UGCCUACGGGACGCAGCAGUGGGGAAUAUUGGGCAAUGGGCGCAAGCCUGACCCAGCAACGCCGCGUGAAGGAAGAAGGCUUUCGGGUUGUAAACUUCUUUUCUAAGGGACGAAGAAAGUGACGGUACCUUAGGAAUAAGCUCCGGCUAACUACGUGCCAGCAGCCGCGGUAAUACGUAGGGAGCGAGCGUUAUCCGGAUUUACUGGGUGUAAAGGGGGGGAGGCGGGGUGGGCA
Molecule: ribosomal RNA, 235 nt
Filed under: uncultured bacterium
Lineage: Bacteria
Description: partial 16S ribosomal RNA
Rfam family: Bacterial small subunit ribosomal RNA
Source: RNAcentral